RNAcentral lists this ribosomal RNA (561 nucleotides) under Escherichia coli. RNAcentral describes it as "bacterial SSU rRNA". It matches the Rfam family "Bacterial small subunit ribosomal RNA", at positions 569 to 1134 of the family's 1533-position model. The record is from RNAcentral. Lineage: Bacteria; Pseudomonadati; Pseudomonadota; Gammaproteobacteria; Enterobacterales; Enterobacteriaceae.
ACGCAGGCGGUUUGUUAAGUCAGAUGUGAAAUCCCCGGGCUCAACCUGGGAACUGCAUCUGAUACUGGCAAGCUUGAGUCUCGUAGAGGGGGGUAGAAUUCCAGGUGUAGCGGUGAAAUGCGUAGAGAUCUGGAGGAAUACCGGUGGCGAAGGCGGCCCCCUGGACGAAGACUGACGCUCAGGUGCGAAAGCGUGGGGAGCAAACAGGAUUAGAUACCCUGGUAGUCCACGCCGUAAACGAUGUCGACUUGGAGGUUGUGCCCUUGAGGCGUGGCUUCCGGAGCUAACGCGUUAAGUCGACCGCCUGGGGAGUACGGCCGCAAGGUUAAAACUCAAAUGAAUUGACGGGGGCCCGCACAAGCGGUGGAGCAUGUGGUUUAAUUCGAUGCAACGCGAAGAACCUUACCUGGUCUUGACAUCCACGGAAGUUUUCAGAGAUGAGAAUGUGCCUUCGGGAACCGUGAGACAGGUGCUGCAUGGCUGUCGUCAGCUCGUGUUGUGAAAUGUUGGGUUAAGUCCCGCAACGAGCGCAACCCUUAUCCUUUGUUGCCAGCGGUCCGG